AGUGAACGCUGGCGGUAGACCUAACACAUGCAAGUCGAACGGCAGCACAGUAAGAGCUUGCUCUUACGGGUGGCGAGUGGUGGACGGGUGAGGAAUACAUCGGAAUCUACUUUUUCGUGGGGGAUAACGUAGGGAAACUUACGCUAAUACCGCAUACGACCUACGGGUGAAAGCAGGGGAUCUUCGGACCUUGCGCGAUUGAAUGAGCCGAUGUCGGAUUAGCUAGUUGGCGGGGUAAAGGCCCACCAAGGCGACGAUCCGUAGCUGGUCUGAGAGGAUGAUCAGCCACACUGGAACUGAGACACGGUCCAGACUCCUACGGGAGGCAGCAGUGGGGAAUAUUGGACAAUGGGCGCAAGCCUGAUCCAGCCAUACCGCGUGGGUGAAGAAGGCCUUCGGGUUGUAAAGCCCUUUUGUUGGGAAAGAAAAGCAGCAGGUUAAUACCCCGCUGUUCUGACGGUACCCAAAGAAUAAGCACCGGCUAACUUCGUG
This 492-nucleotide ribosomal RNA is filed under the name uncultured bacterium. Its description in RNAcentral is "partial 16S ribosomal RNA". It matches the Rfam family "Bacterial small subunit ribosomal RNA", at positions 29 to 507 of the family's 1533-position model. The record is from RNAcentral.